UUCCGGUUGAUCCUGCCGGAGGCUACUGCUAUCGGGGUUCGAUUAAGCCAUGCGAGUUAAAUGUUCUUCGUGAACAUAGCGAACUGCUCAGUAACACGUGGAUAACCUACCCUUAGGACCGGAAUAACCCCGGGAAACUGGGGAUAAUACCGGAUAAGCCAUAGACGCUGGAAUGCCCUAUGGUUCAAAGCUCCGGCGCCUAAGGAUGGAUCUGCGGUCUAUCAGGUUGUAGUAGGUGUAACGUACCUACUAGCCGACGACGGAUACGGGUUGUGAGAGCAAGAGCCCGGAGAUGGAUUCUGAGACACGAAUCCAGGCCCUACGGGGUGCAGCAGGCGCGAACACUUUACAAUGCGGGAAACCGCGAUAAGGGAACCCCGAGUGCCAGCAUCAAAUGUUGGCUGUCCAGAUGGUUAAAAAUCAUUUGUUAGCAAGGGCCGGGCAAGACCGGUGCCAGCCGCCGCGGUAACACCGGCGGCCCGAGUGGUAGCCGUUUUUAUUGGGUCUAAAGGGUCCGUAGCCGGCCUGAUAAGUCCUUUGGGAAAUCUGACAGCUUAACUGUCAGGCUUCUAAGGGAUACUGUCAGGCUUGGGACCGGAAGAGGUAAGGGGUACUCCAGGGGUAGGAGUGAAAUCUUGUAAUCCCUGGGGGACCAUCUGUGGCGAAGGCGCCUUACCAGAACGGGUCCGACGGUGAGGGACGAAAGCUAGGGGAGCAAACCGGAUUAGAUACCCGGGUAGUCCUAGCUGUAAACGAUGCUCGCUAGGUGUCAGACACGGUGCGACCGUGUUUGGUGCCGCAGGGAAGCCGUUAAGCGAGCCACCUGGGAAGUACGGUCGCAAGGCUGAAACUUAAAGGAAUUGGCGGGGGAGCACAGCAACGGGUGGAGCGUGCGGUUUAAUUGGAUUCAACGCCGGA
This 918-nucleotide ribosomal RNA is filed under the name archaeon enrichment culture clone AOM-SR-A8. RNAcentral's name for it is "bacterial SSU rRNA". It matches the Rfam family "Archaeal small subunit ribosomal RNA", at positions 1 to 922 of the family's 1478-position model. The record is from RNAcentral.